RNAcentral lists this small RNA (28 nucleotides) under Arabidopsis thaliana (thale cress). RNAcentral's name for it is "ATSL105770". The record is from RNAcentral. Lineage: Eukaryota; Viridiplantae; Streptophyta; Magnoliopsida; Brassicales; Brassicaceae.
UUGUCCCAUCUAACAAUAACAGCAUAAU